RNAcentral lists this ribosomal RNA (253 nucleotides) under uncultured bacterium. RNAcentral's name for it is "partial 16S ribosomal RNA". It matches the Rfam family "Bacterial small subunit ribosomal RNA", at positions 524 to 776 of the family's 1533-position model. The record is from RNAcentral.
UACGUAGGGUGCAAGCGUUGUCCGGAAUUAUUGGGCGUAAAGAGCUCGUAGGCGGUUUGUCGCGUCGGUUGUGAAAACCCAAGGCUCAACCUUGGGCCUGCAAUCGAUACGGGCAGACUAGAGUACUGCAGGGGAGACUGGAAUUCCUGGUGUAGCGGUGGAAUGCGCAGAUAUCAGGAGGAACACCGAUUGCGAAGGCAGCUCGCUGGGACGUUACUGACGCUGAGACGCGAAAGCGUGGGGAGCAAACAGG